RNAcentral lists this ribosomal RNA (248 nucleotides) under uncultured bacterium. RNAcentral describes it as "partial 16S ribosomal RNA". It matches the Rfam family "Bacterial small subunit ribosomal RNA", at positions 524 to 773 of the family's 1533-position model. The record is from RNAcentral.
UACGUAGGGUGCAAGCGUUAAUCGGAAUUACUGGGCGUAAAGCGUGCGCAGGCGGCCAUGCAAGACAGAUGUGAAAUCCCCGGGCUCAACCCUGGGAACUGCAUUUGUGACUGCAUGGCUAGAGUACGGCAGAGGGGAUGGAAUUCCGCGUGUAGCAGUGAAAUGCGUAGAUAUGCGGAGGAACACCGAUGGCGAAGGCAAUCCCCUGGGCCUGUACUGACGCUCAUGCACGAAGCGUGGGAGCGAAC